RNAcentral lists this ribosomal RNA (263 nucleotides) under uncultured Staphylococcus sp. RNAcentral's name for it is "partial 16S ribosomal RNA". It matches the Rfam family "Bacterial small subunit ribosomal RNA", at positions 99 to 355 of the family's 1533-position model. Lineage: Bacteria; Bacillati; Bacillota; Bacilli; Caryophanales; Staphylococcaceae. The record is from RNAcentral.
CGGACGGGUGAGUAACACGUGGAUAACCUACCUAUAAGACUGGGAUAACUUCGGGAAACCGGAGCUAAUACCGGAUAAUAUAUUGAACCGCAUGGUUCAAUAGUGAAAGACGGUUUUGCUGUCACUUAUAGAUGGAUCCGCGCUGCAUUAGCUAGUUGGUAAGGUAACGGCUUACCAAGGCAACGAUGCGUAGACGACCUGAGAGGGUGAUCGGCCACACUGGAACUGAGACACGGUCCAGACUCCUACGGGAGGCAGCAGCC